AUUAACAAAAAAAAAUCACAUAAUUUUUGUAACAAUGUGGACUUGAAGGAUUUUUUUUGAAUUCAUCCCAUGUUGAAAUCUUAACAUGUACCAACAAUAUAAACUAAAACAUAAGUCUAUUCAUCAUAGCUUUAACAUGUACCACAAUACAAACUAAAACAUAAUGCUAUUCGUAUCAUAGCUCUCAGCUAAGGCCAGUAUUCCUCAAAAAUAUCUGUCAAUAAUAUCCUCGGCCAAGUCAGAGAUAUCUUUGAUGUCAUGAGUGUCCAAACUGCACAAUCUUUCGAAUCCUUCG
RNAcentral lists this long non-coding RNA (295 nucleotides) under Lathyrus oleraceus (garden pea). RNAcentral's name for it is "Pisum sativum (pea) long non-coding RNA (PSAT_LNC008377)". The record is from RNAcentral. Lineage: Eukaryota; Viridiplantae; Streptophyta; Magnoliopsida; Fabales; Fabaceae.